This 788-nucleotide non-coding RNA is filed under the name Urolabida sp. FS-2019. The record is from RNAcentral. Lineage: Eukaryota; Metazoa; Arthropoda; Insecta; Hemiptera; Urostylididae.
UUAGGUUUAAAGUGGUUUGAUUCUAGCCAAAUAGAAUAGGUUAGUUUUGAUUUUACAUGUAAGUUUUUGCGAGUUAGCAAUUAAACUCUAGAUGGGGUUAAUUGUAGUUGAAUUCUCAGUUUUUAAUAUUAGUGUUUAAUAUAUAUUAUACCUAGUUAUUGACUAUUAUGAUUAGCUAAGAGUGUGCCAGCAGCUGCGGUUACACAUUUGAUCAAAAUUAUUCUCUUUUAAUUGUAAUUAUUUAUUUAUUUAAGGUUUCAAUUAAUUAUUUUUUGAGUGGAAUCUAAAAUAGUUUUUAACCUUGGUUAAAGAUUUUAUGAUAUUUUUAUUUAAACUAGGAUUAGAUACCCUAUUAUUUUAAAUGUAAAAUGAAUUAGUAUUAAUAGAUAUGGUCUUUAAAUUAAAAGAAUUUGACGGUAAUUUAAUCUUUUCAGAGGAGCCUGUAAUAUAAUCGAUAACCCACGAUAAAAUCUACCAUAAAUAAGGGUUUGUAUAUCUCUGUCUUAAGAAUGUUUUAUUAGAAUUUUUAUUUUCAUAAAUUUAUUAUAAAUCUAAGUCAGGUCAAGGUGCAGCUUUUUAUGGUUACUUAUGGGCUACUUUUAUUUAUAAUUUUGGAUUAAAUAGUUGUAUAUAUUACUUUUAUGAAAUUGGAUUUGAUUGUAAUAUAUAAAAUAUAUUAUAUAUGAUAUUUGCCCUGGAUUAAGUACAUAUCGCCCGUCACUCUUGUUAUUAAAACAAGAUAAGUCGUAACAAAGUAGGCUUAUCGGAAGAUGAGCCUGGAAUUAAUU